GAUUGGAUAGUAUAGUGGUGAGUACAAUUCGUUGUGGCCUGUGGUAAUCCACCUAGUAAACACCGAAUAGACCCAGGUUCGAUUCCUGGUCCAGUCA
Molecule: non-coding RNA, 97 nt
Organism: Nemania abortiva
Lineage: Eukaryota; Fungi; Ascomycota; Sordariomycetes; Xylariales; Xylariaceae
Source: the annotation of a GenBank genome assembly